RNAcentral lists this ribosomal RNA (252 nucleotides) under uncultured Bacteroidales bacterium. Its description in RNAcentral is "partial 16S ribosomal RNA". It matches the Rfam family "Bacterial small subunit ribosomal RNA", at positions 524 to 776 of the family's 1533-position model. The record is from RNAcentral. Lineage: Bacteria; Pseudomonadati; Bacteroidota; Bacteroidia; Bacteroidales.
UACGGGGGAUGCAAGCGUUAUCCGGAUUUAUUGGGUUUAAAGGGUGCGCAGGCGGAGGCACAAGUCAGCGGUAAAAUCGCGGGGCUCAACCCCGCUCCGCCGUUGAAACUGGCAGUCUCGAGUUGGAGAGAAGUAUGCGGAAUGCGCGGUGUAGCGGUGAAAUGCAUAGAUAUCGCGCAGAACUCCGAUUGCGAAGGCAGCGUACCGGCGCCGGACUGACGCUGAGGCACGAAAGCGUGGGUAUCGAACAGG